UGGGGAAUUUUGGACAAUGGGGGAAACCCUGAUCCAGCCAUCCCGCGUGUGCGAUGAAGGCCUUCGGGUUGUAAAGCACUUUUGGCAGGAAAGAAACGUCAUGGGUUAAUACCCCGUGAAACUGACGGUACCUGCAGAAUAAGCACCGGCUAACUACGUGCCAGCAGCCGCGGUAAUACGUGGGGUGCAAGCGUUAAUCGGAAUUACUGGGCGUAAAGCGUGCGCAGGCGGUUCGGAAAGAAAGAUGUGAAAUCCCAGAGCUCAACUUUGGAACUGCAUUUUUAACUACCGGGCUAGAGUGUGUCAGAGGGAGGUGGAAUUCCGGGUGUAGCAGUGAAAUGCGUAGAUAUGCGGAGGAACACCGAUGGCGAAGGCAGCCUCCUGGGAUAACACUGACGCUCAUGCACGAAAGCGUGGGGAGCAAACAGG
This 429-nucleotide ribosomal RNA is filed under the name Acidobacteriota bacterium. RNAcentral describes it as "Acidobacteria bacterium partial 16S ribosomal RNA". It matches the Rfam family "Bacterial small subunit ribosomal RNA", at positions 355 to 776 of the family's 1533-position model. Lineage: Bacteria; Pseudomonadati; Acidobacteriota. The record is from RNAcentral.